AAUAGGAGAAUGACAAAUUAGAUUUUUCCUCCUGAUAUUCAGUUUUUUCUCCUAAAAAAAUUCAAAUCCAACUAAAAAUGCUAAAAAUUAGGAGGAAAAAUCUGAUUUGUCAUUCUCCUAUU
Molecule: non-coding RNA, 122 nt
Organism: Gossypium raimondii (Peruvian cotton)
Lineage: Eukaryota; Viridiplantae; Streptophyta; Magnoliopsida; Malvales; Malvaceae
Source: Rfam